ACGGCCCGCAAAAUGGCCGCCCCCGGGGCCGCGACGCGCAGGGUGCGGCGGGGCGGCUGCGCGCCCGGAUCCGGAUGGGAGCCGGGGCCGUGGGGAGGUCGAGAGUGCUGCUGCGCCGCCCCCGCGGCGGUGCCGGGGUGAGACGGAAGGCUUCUCCGCCAAGGUGCGGCCGCGGCAGCCGCUCUCCUCCGCCCGCCUCGUUCCUGGGGCGGCUGCAGGGGGCGGUGGCAGCGCCCGUCCCUAGGGGUCACCGUGGCUUCUGUCCGGUGGCAGCGCCUUCCGCGGGGGGCCGCCGGCGGGCGUCUCACGGGCCGGCCGCGCUCGGAGCGGCCGCUCCUGCCCCCGCAGCGGGGGCUGGUGGACGGGGCAGCGCGGCCCGGGGGCUGGUGCGUGGCGGCCAGCGUGCUCGAAGCGGCUGUCUGCGAGCCUCAUCAGGGGCUGGCUGCCUCGCCUGGCCGGCACUCCGAGGACAGGCCUUCGUGAGCAUCUCUCUGCGGGAGCGCAGGCAAGCAGCUAUUCUGGGCACAGCUCUCAACUUUUCAGGAAUUUAGUCUCCUUUACGCGUGUUUGCAUUUAGAAACACCUAUCCCGAUACGUAUUUGUGGUCUAAUGCACGCUAGGUUUGGUUCUGAGCUCUGAUUUGUUGUAAUUGCAGCCACUGUUAGCUUGAUGAGGGACACUUCACGUACCACUUAAGACUGAUCUAGGUAGCCAUUACAGAAAAGGCCGUUCAAGGAUGAAGGAGAUGCAUUGCAUCGGUUGCACAAAGUAGUGACCUGUGCUAUGCUUGGAAUUUUUCAGAAUAAAGCUUCUUCACUGUUGUUGUUCAGUUGUAGGUCGGCGGUUAUCUUUUCUGAUUGAAAAUUAUUAGUCAAGGUUGUCAAGUGCACCGAGUGAUCCAGGCUUUUUGGAUGGUCUGGAGGUGAAGCAGCAUGGGUUUGUUGGGGUUUUUCGAUGUAUGUCAUCUCUGUGGAGAGAUGAUAAAGAUAUAAUCUAGUGAGAUUCUGAUGCGGGCAGGCAUAGAUUUCUGGGAUUUACCAGAAAUAGAUUUACUUCAGUGUUGAUAGUCAUAAUAACUUGCAUCUUACCUUUUGGAGUGGAAGCAGGAGAAAAAAAUAAUGGCACUGCUUUGGAAGCAAUGUUAAGUUUUAGAUUAAGAUAGCAGUGAGAGAGAUAUAUAGUGCUUAAGCAAGUACUUGUUUUUUUUAUUCGAGUUGUUUUCAUCAGUUAGUUGAUUUUUUUAAAAACAGAUUUAAUAAAAACAUGUUUUUAUGGAUUUCGUUCAUAUACAUCAGUAUAUGAAGAGAUUAGUCAAACAUUUAUUGUUUUGAAAUAGUGGAGCUCUUGAACAUUCGUCUAUAGUUUUUUUACUUCUGAAGUACUGGUAUGGUCUUCUAAAUGGAUGGUGCCAGAUAACAUAAAGUAAGUGAUCAGUUAUGGUUAAUACUUCCUUUGGACAUCUCAGCUCAAGGGUUUUUUUGCAUUCAUAUGCUAUUCAAAAUCCCCCCCAAAAUAGCUGUGUGCUGCCAGUCCUGCUUUGUUCCAUGUUAGAACUUUUAAACUUACAAUGUGUUUUUAUUGAUACAUCUACUAUACUGCAACUGUAGAGGAUUGAGGCCAAGUAACUGAGGCCAAAGUGGUUUGAGGUAAAGUUACUUUGACUUGCCCAGUUUCCACUGUUGCAAGGUGUAUUUAUGCAAAUACAAGUGCUUAAAAAUGAAGUUUUAUCUUCCAACCAGUCUCAGUAAUAGAGGUGUUAGAGCUUAGUUAAGAAGUUUCUAUCCUCAGUCUGUUGACAGGAAAUUAUGGUAAUAAUUUAACAUAUAAUAAUAAAUAUAUAAUCUCAUGAAGCAUUUAUUAUAGAUCUAUAAAAUUGUAACAGUUACGUUGAAUUCUACUUGGAAUUAUAUAGUUGCACUUACAAUGGAAGUGUUAUAAUACUAGAAUACAUGGUUCUAUUAACUGGGUUUUGGUGUUUCUUUUCUUUUUUUUUUUUUUAACAGCUAUAGCUUUGAAGAGUUCCACAAUCUGUAGUUGAAAAAUGUACAGUAAAUGAAAAAAACACUCGAAAUUUACUUUGUGCUUUCCCACUGCAUGUUGCUCCUUCUGUAUGCACCUCUCUGUACCCCUUCAUUUUUCGUAAAUGAUAUUCUGAAGAAUUCCUUAAGGGUUAGUGAAAGUUGAGAUUAAUGAAAGCUAACAAUUUGAAGAAAAUUUAAAGACAUUUUCUUUUAAGUGGUUUGAGAACCAGUCAUUGAUUCAGUAUAUAACCUAUAUAUGUGUGUCACAGAUUGGAUGAAUUAGCUGUAACUUCUUUCUGCUUUACAGAAAUAUGCCAGAGACUGAAGUUAUCUGAGCAAAGCUGGAACCAGAAAGUCUUCUUAGAAACAACCAAAUAACAUGAAGAAUAAAACAAAGAGAUUAUGGUGAUCUGGUGACAAGCAAAAGAAAGACUAACUAACUGCAAUUCCUAGAGAAGGCUCCAGACUGCCAGCUUGUGGUGACAGUAGCAGCACUGGUGUAGUGAUAGUCUAAAGAUAGAUUCUCCAUAAAGUGUGCAGUCUGAGGUGCAAGUAUGUGAAAGAACCUGGUCAUUUGGCAAGGUAGCUGUUAGGAAAGUCUGUAUCAGGCAUCUUGACAGGAAGAAAUCAAAACUUUACCUAUUUAACUUCAGAAGUGUAACUUUUUUCCUUAUUUUUCUCCCCAUUUAUGCCUUUAUAAACUACUGUGAAUGAAAAACUUUUAUUUGCAUGUUUCACUGAAGUUGGAACAAAUGAAAAGUGGUCAGAUAAUAAAUGAAUAUAAAGAAGUAAUUUAUCACUCCAGUCCCUGCAGCAUACUGCAAGUGCCUGUAUCUCCAUUACGUCUUGUAGAAUAUCUGAAAAAUAAGAGAGCACGCUUGCAGAGAAGCUGUUUGGGUUCUCUGGAGAAAGGGUAUUGCGGGUUCAGAGGAGGAAACGUCACUGCAGUAAUCGUAAGUAACCAGCUCUGUUGUUCUUAAUAGUGAAGUGCACAUUGAGCUCAGGAGCUCCCAGGGAGGCUAUAACAAGCCUAAAAGCAGUUGGAAACUACGUAAAAUCCUUGUAUCCCUUCCCACUGUGACAGAAAUUACACAUAUUGCUCUGUCAAUAUUAUGUUACGUGUUAUUUGAGAAUUGUAGAUAUUCACUUGCUACAGACAGAGCUUUGUGGUCCCAGAGUCUUUCCAGCCUCUGAGCCUGUUCAUCUUAACCUGAUUUUUUUUCUUCUUUCCAUCAAUUUAUUUCUUGAUAGUAACAAUAACAUUGAUAUUGUAAUGAUUCUAUGAUUAGUACUGUCUUUGUGAAUUUGUGUACCUUUGAAAGCAUUAAAUGUUAAGAGUGGUAGAUUAAUAAUACCAGUGUUGGAGGGAUUAAGCAUUCUGCUGCUCUUACUUUGUUGUAGCAGAAUUAGGAAGUUCAAGUAGUUGUUUCCAAACCUGCCCUGAUAAGCUUAUUUUCCUUACUGAGCUACCUUUGGCUUCACCUCUAACAACUUCUGCAGCAGCGAUGCAUUUUCCAUUUCAAACUAUGAAGACAAAAACGGUAUUGGGAAAUAAUAGUUCUUAAAAACAAAGAAUUGCUGCCUCUUUUGUGCAAUGAGGUAACAUCAUUUUAUAAAAGGGUCUCUUCUCCUUCCUGUAUAGACUCCAGUCUUUUUCCAGGAUGCUAUCUAGACAGUGUCAACUUAACGAUCCAAACCUUAAAACUGAAGUUAGAAGUACUAAAUUUGGAUGUCUAACAUAGUAACACAGGAGUACAAUUUCUAAGAACACAACGUAGGAGAGUACUUACAUAUUUAACAUAAAUACCUCAUUACCUGCAGUGGGCUCUUGGCUCUGCUCAUCAGAUCUAAGCUGUCAAGUGCUCAGAAAAUAAAGAAUGAGCAAUUACACAGUAGUGAGCAACUUUAAACAGCAUUCACUGCCAAAACCAUGAUGACUUUGUGUUUUUAUAUUAAUGACCUCAUUUGUUACAAAUACAACCUGUCUAAUCUGGUUAUCAUCCUGGAUUUAUAGCACAGCAGAGGUGUACAUCAGUGAAUUUUUGACUUGGGGUUGAGCAUAUGAGAGCGUGUUCACAGGUUUUAUCCAUAUUGUCUUGUGAGGACGGUGCUGGAAAAUGGCUUUCAGAAGCACUUGAUUUAGAAUUCCUAUUCUGGCAGUGUUUUGAGCCUGUUGAGAUUCUGUCUGCAUUAUGAAGCCAUGUUAUUUAUCAGAACUUUUAUACAUGCAUGAGUUUGGAAGAUCUCUGUCGUGGCCUGCAUCAGUCACUGGUGGGCAUGUCUGAGACAAAGAAAACUUGCAUAAGACUCAUUACUAUUUAUUAACUGAUGCAUACAAGUCAGGUCUCUCCAAACAGAGGAAACUGUGAGCCAUGUCCCAUUCUCUUGUUUCUUUGGGCUUUUUUUGUAGAUGUCAUUUGUUAAGUCUUGUUUCUGACUUAUUUUUUCCUUCCCAGGCUUUUCUGUCACCUUGCUUUGUAGCAAUUCAUCAUGUAAAUAAUGAGACAAGAUGUUAAUUCUGAGUGAGCCCAUCUAUUCUGGCAUUUCUUCUGUGGUAAACGACUAUCUAUUCUAACAGAAAAGCUUCAUCCCCUGCAUACUGUCUUAGUCAUCUGCAAACCAGUGCCCAUAGAGGUGAACUCAAGCAUCACCUUUCAUCAUGCUACAGUUAUGACCACAUACGGUAAAGAGUGUCUUAUAACUGCAGAACUGCAAAGGUACGUGAUGUUAAAGGAUUUAAGAUAGAUAAUGGAAGGGUAAGUAAGGCACAAAGUAGGUUUCCCUGUCAAUUGUGUAUCUCAUCAAAGUGGUUAAUAUAUCAUUCUGUCUGCAAGUGACAGUCUACAUACCUCUUCUUGCAGUAGGUGACUCAAAGCAGUAGUUCCCACGAAUGCUUAAAUGGAAAUGGGGUAAGGGCCUUUGCAUAGCAGCUGUACAGCUUAAAACCACUCUGUCAAAUGAUCUUAAAGAAUUAUCUGUAGAUAACAUUCCAUAGGAUUGCUUAGUGGAUGCAACUCACAGGAAUUUCUUAGCAAGCACACUGAUGUGGCUUGAGUUCUGGUAGGGCUCUGUCUGUCAGUUCCAUAAAAGGCAUUGACAUAGCCUCCAGUCUGUUUUAAAAUUCAUGUUUUGGUGAAGACCAUUUGUGUCAACGUGAACUGUUCUGAAGAUCUAAAGGGUCAUCAUAUGAUUUUAUAAAUAAACAAUCACUUUGAGAAUGAGGGACAUGAUACAUGCAGGAACAAAGAGUUAGUGAGGCCAAAAGAAGCAAAUAUCUUUAGUUCCUUAGGAGUUGGUGAACAUGGAUGAGACUUAGUAUUAUUUCAUCUUCAUUCAACCUUUUGCCAUGGUAUGGCUAUAGCUACGGGAUCACAGGAAUGAAAAGGAAAAUGCAGACAAUUCUUCCAAAACAGAGAUGAAAGAAGAUAUUCAGUAAAUGUGUAGGGGUAAAAAGGGACAACACUUUUCUUCCAUAUUUGAAGACAAAAAGUCAAACCCUGUUCAGGAUUUGUCAUCUAGAACUUUGGAUCACCGAGUCAAGUUUGAAAAAGUCAGCUUUUCUGGCUGAAGGAAGAUACCACAGCACCUCACAGACUAAAGAUAAACGGUGGUUUUGUUUGUCAUCGCACAGCUGUAGCAUGUCUUUUGAUGGAUUGCAGCUUCUUUUCUACAGUGCAUGCUGUUCUACCUUAGGUGAGGUUUGGUAACAAUCUUUCUUUUGAGAACAGCCAAUCUUGCAGAGUCACACUUGUGAGUACUUUAUCAGUGCCAUAUACCACAAAUCAGUGAGGUAAGUGAAAUCAAAAAGUGUCCCCUUGCAGGAUGAGAGGAUCAUGGUAAUGUUGUGUCUUAUGAAAACAUUCUGGAGGGGAAUACUAAUGGGUCUGAAGGUAUAUACUAUAUAGUGUAGAAGCCAGACUUAAACUUUAUAGGGAUAGAUUGUCUUGAGGCAUCACAUGACUUAGCAAGGUUAGGUAGAUUUGUCAUUGCAUUAGGAAGAAGAUCCACACACACGUUAUAGCAGUCCAAAACCUAUCUUGAGAAGGAAGGGUUCUUGCAGACUCUGAAGAACAUGUUGAGUCAGCUUUGUCUCUUGCUUGUCCUUUCACCAGCCUGCUGUUCAGACAAGGAGAGAGAUACAGAAUUCCAUCUAGGGAAUAUCAGCACCACUGCCAGUAUUUAAGUACUUUGGCGAGUCUGAGUUGAUUGUGAUCUGUAAAACAAAUGUGAUACUAUGUGGAUGAUAACACUUCAGCAACCUAGAAAUGUGUCUCAAAGCAGGUAAAUAGCAUUUGGUCAUUUACACGGUCUUUGUAUCUUUAAAUGUUUUUCUUGAGAAUUAGGUAACUAGUGCAAGUGAAGGCUUGUAGGCAGAAUAUACUUUUGUGGAAGUUUUCCAUGUAGAGCGAGUCUGCAGUGGCAACUUGGCUCUUGAGGAAAAACGUGACGAUGUCAAUUAGGGGUGUGAAAAUUCUGAUGGACUCGGACUGAAGUCCCAUGCACAUGUUGAGCUAGUGCCAAAAAAGAUGAUGAGGGUCUAAUUACUAUCAAACAGUGGUUCAAACUAUGUUUUUACUGAAAUUGUUUGUUAUCCCGGUAGAAUUACUUCUUCCUUGUCCAAAAAUAGGAUACGAUUUCGAGUUACCAAGGCUUAUUUGUAAGGUGGAAAAGGCAAAGGAAACAGAUAUUUUAGAUAAUAGAAGCAUGUGCUGAAGAUUGGUCAAAUGACUCAGAUAAUGCUACAUAUUCUUGUAUUUUGAAAUGAGUUAACAUGCUAAUAUUUAACAUGGAGGGGCUGAGAAUCCUGAUCUGUUAGUCUGUCAUAAGGUCAGUGAGAAAUGACAUGAAAGGGUAAGAAUCCUAAUACUGAACUAUGUGUUGAGCCUGCCCUGAUCUCUGUACCAUCACUCUGAAGUACCUACCAUAUCAAGGAAUGACAGACAUUCUGUGUGACAGCCUGGACAGUCCGUAGCAAAAAGUCCUCAUAGUUUCUAACUGAGAGGAUCAAGAACACCGAUGAACCCUGCCUGCACGUUAGAGGUGUGAGGUCGAGACACAGUCUCAGGUUCGUGAUGGGAAUCAGGAAAUGAAGUGCAGCAGUUCUUUCAAAUUCUGUAGAGAAUCUGAAGGGCAGGGAGGCCUUUCUGCAUUAGGCUGUUGUGGAUCAGAAGCUUUUCAUUUCAAAUCUGUUAGAUUGGGUUCUGGCACUGUAGUACACUGUGGUGAUUGAUUCAGGCUCUGCUAUGAGUCCUUGGUUGAUAGGUUGUGUGAAUCAAUGAUGCUGCUGCUGUCUUUUUAAUGAAAUCAUUUUGGAGCUGCCACUUCCUGUUUUUAUCACCUUACACCUUACAGGUGGAGUGGUUUUACUAAAUGUGUCCUAUGCACUAGGCAGGCAGAGCUGGAAGAUGAACCUCAAGAAAAUCUGGUAAGCAGAGCUUCUUAGAGAUAAUAAAAUACAAGUUUAAACUAGAAAAAGGAUGCAAAUACGAAUAAGGAACACUGUAUUAUUGAAGGGGUGUCCAGAUCUGGAAUGCUGUAGUCCGCCUGGCAGAAGAAAGCUGGAAAAGUACCAGACUUGUGCAUCAGACACUUAAGAGUAUGGUCACCAUCAAAUACUCUGGGGAAAGCUUAUUAUCAGUUACAAAGCAUUUGUAUAGCUGCAGGGCAGAUACACACAUGGAUUAUUGCUUAAAAGAGUGAUUUUUGUCAUAUUACUGUUACUAGCUUCUUGACAUUUUUAAUUUCUAGUCACUUUUAUACACUGCAUGCUAAUGUGUAUGAUAUAGUAUGCUGCUCCUUCUUUAAUACCUACCAUGAACUGGAUUCAAGUGCAACGGCACUACCUUAAAUUUAAUCAACAUGUUGUAAGGCUUCUGAGGUUGAUGGUACGAUCACUUAAGCAAUAUAACUGGAAAGUUGUUCCUCAGAGGUAAGUACACAAGUGACCAGAUGGCCUCUACAGUUCAUACCUUUUUUUUUUUAAUCUAUAAAUAUAUUAGAAACUGAAGUUACUGAGUCUGUCUGAUCCUAAAGAUCUAUUUCUACAGUGAAUGCACUGCACAAAUGUUGGCUAUUCUUUUAAGAGAUCAGUGUGCUUGGAUGGUCCCUGAUGGGGUAAAAAGGAGUUGGAAAGUACUUUGCCUAUUCUACAGAAUUUCCUUAGUGAAGUUACUUAAGCUCUCUGACCUUGAUUUGCUUUCUACAAGUAAUGACAAGUGUAUCUAUGUAUGAUUUCCUAGUCAUAAAUUUAUUGUAGGACCAAUUGCUGUUUGAGGCAAGCAAACACAGUAGCAGUAAAGGGAAAAAAAGGAAUCCCUAAGUAAUUUUGAAGAAAUGAGUGGUUGUUACAGAUGUGCAAAGGGAACCAUACCUGCUCGUAACCAUUUUGCUUUUUAUUACACUCAGAACUGUAUGACUGGCGGAGGCAAGUGUUUGUCUCAGGCUGGGCUAGCUAAAAGUUUGGUGGUUUUAUGAGCAUGUAAGUGCAGCUGCCUCACAGAAAUGUGUUGCAGUAAAAUACUCCAGAUCUUCAAUAUGACUGUAAUGGCUGUCUAAAAAUAAUACGUAACAAAGGGUGUCCUUCCCAGGGAGAGCCAGAAAUAACUUGCUUUUGCUUUGUCAAAAUGUAAGGCUAUUACCAGUUAAUUUACAAGCAGCAGCCUGACCCAGAGACCAUGCAAGAGCUAACCUUCAAGAAAAGCUUCGACGUAGGAAUCCCGAACUUGGACGGCCCCCAACGAAAUAAUAAAUGCCACUCGCUUGCA
Colius striatus (speckled mousebird) is the source of this 8785-nucleotide long non-coding RNA. RefSeq lists it as uncharacterized. Lineage: Eukaryota; Metazoa; Chordata; Aves; Coliiformes; Coliidae. The transcript has 2 exons. The record is from RefSeq and is a predicted model, not a curated record.